AGGUUGAGUAGGGUUAAUCUAUGGACCGUGGAUAGUAGGGUUCCUAGACUCUGGAGAUAUUUCUGGUCUGAGUGGUAUGGACAAAACUAUAUCGGAAGAGAAGAUUUGAGGGUUGCACAAGGUCUGAAUAAUUGGGAUUCUCUGAAGAUUUAGUUGACUGGGUCCAGGAUUUUGAUUCUGCUGAAAACAAACUGGAUCUAGUACUGCUUAUGAGAGAGAGAGAGAGAG
Molecule: unclassified non-coding RNA, 228 nt
Filed under: Hevea brasiliensis (rubber tree)
Lineage: Eukaryota; Viridiplantae; Streptophyta; Magnoliopsida; Malpighiales; Euphorbiaceae
Source: RNAcentral